GCCUGGGUGGCUCAGCCGGUUGAGCUUUUGACUUCGGCUUAGGUCAUGAUCUCAUGAUUUGUGGGUUCAAGCCCCACUUUGGGCA
RNAcentral lists this transfer RNA (85 nucleotides) under Felis catus (domestic cat). It matches the Rfam family "tRNA". Rfam says of the family: Transfer RNA (tRNA) molecules are approximately 80 nucleotides in length. Their secondary structure includes four short double-helical elements and three loops (D, anti-codon, and T loops). Further hydrogen bonds mediate the characteristic L-shaped molecular structure. tRNAs have two regions of fundamental functional importance: the anti-codon, which is responsible for specific mRNA codon recognition, and the 3' end, to which the tRNAs corresponding amino acid is attached (by aminoacyl-tRNA synthetases). tRNAs cope with the degeneracy of the genetic code in two manners: having more than one tRNA (with a specific anti-codon) for a particular amino acid; and 'wobble' base-pairing, i.e. permitting non-standard base-pairing at the 3rd anti-codon position. Lineage: Eukaryota; Metazoa; Chordata; Mammalia; Carnivora; Felidae. The record is from Rfam by way of RNAcentral.